CCAGGUAUGGGUCCUGGAUUUGAACCCGGAUCCUUCAGAGUAGUAAGCCACAGUUUUACCACGCGGCCAUCCGGCCGACUCGGUUUCCUUCGUUCCUCCAACACUCGGAACGUUAACGCCUAACCUCGAUCUGGCCAAAUAUAAAUAGGCAAACUCGGUACCUCCGUUCUAGUGAUUCUCAUUUUCUUUCGAUUUGUUAUUAAAUAAAUUACAAAAUCACAAUAUGGAUACGAAUUAGCACGGAUCCAUCCGCAUUAUUCCUUUUCUGAUUACUCGGCGUCGGGCCUGGUAGAAAAGCAUUAGCUCACCAUUUUAAAGAAUGAGUUCAAUUGCGGGUUCCCCGCUUCCAGGUUUGGGAAAGGCGCCGGUACUCGGCUAAUCGAAUCCCAUUCUUCGAUCCUUCUGUUCUCUAUCCUAGGUAUCGACUGGCCGGUGUGGCUCUAAAAGUGGCCGAGUCAGUCGGAUGGCCGCGUGAUAAAACUGUGGCCUACCAUAAUGGAUGAUCAGGGCUCACUCUGGGUCCCACGUCUACAGGUUUCGGGAAGGAUCCGGGCCCUGUCCGUUGAACCCGAUCAUUCGACUUUCCGGUCGACUCCAUUACAGAUGUGGCCAGCCGGUGAUGGAUUUUACUAGUGGCUGCCACCAGAUGAAGUAUGUCCCUGGCGUGAUAUGGCCGCUUAACUACACUUCUUUCUUUACGUACAUAUAAGAAAUAAUAUUUCGUAUAUGUACUCGAUAUAGCUAUUUCGAUAUUUUCUGAAUAUAUCAAUACUUAUUCGCCGAUACUUGGUAGUAUCUAGAAAUUCGAAAAAUUUAAUAUUUGGUACAAGAUUUUUUCAGUUACAGUACAUAUAAAAAACGAUAUGGUUGGACUUUCGAUUUUUUAACCUAAUUAUUAGUAACGUCGAAAAGGCUGACUCUACAUUCUUAUUCCAUUUUAAUCUUAUAUUUCUUUAAAAUUAUUCAUUGAAAUUUUUGAUAGUGAUAUUCAGGGCUCGAAAUAAUGGUCGCCAGCUCGCCAUUGGUGACUGAGAAAUUGCAGCUGGCGAGUCUGAUGAGAUAAUCUUG
RNAcentral lists this long non-coding RNA (1068 nucleotides) under Androctonus crassicauda. Lineage: Eukaryota; Metazoa; Arthropoda; Arachnida; Scorpiones; Buthidae. The record is from RNAcentral.